GAUGAACGCUAGCUACAGGCUUAACACAUGCAAGUCGAGGGGCAGCACAGUGUAGCAAUACAUGGGUGGCGACCGGCGCACGGGUGCGUAACGCGUAUCCAACCUUCCCGUUACUCUUGGAUAGCCUUCCGAAAGGGAGAUUAAUACAAGAUGGUAUUCAAAUUCCGCAUGUUAUUUGAAUUAAAGAUUUAUCGGUAACGGAUGGGGAUGCGUUGUAUUAGCUAGUUGGUGGGGUAAUGGCUCACCAAGGCGACGAUACAUAGGGGGACCUGAGAGGUUAACCCCCCACAUUGGUACUGAGACACGGACCAAACUCCUACGGGAGGCAGCAGUGAGGAAUAUUGGUCAAUGGACGCAAGUCUGAACCAGCCAUGCCGCGUGCAGGAUGACGGCUCUAUGAGUUGAAACUGCUUUUGAUGAGGGUAAAAUUGGGUACNCGUACCCAAUGAAAGUAUCAUACGAAUAAGGAUCGGCUAACUCCGUGCCAGCAGCC
Molecule: ribosomal RNA, 493 nt
Filed under: uncultured bacterium
Lineage: Bacteria
Description: bacterial SSU rRNA
Rfam family: Bacterial small subunit ribosomal RNA
Source: RNAcentral